This is a small nuclear RNA of Cherax quadricarinatus, 101 nucleotides long. NCBI's taxonomy places the organism in Eukaryota, Metazoa, Arthropoda, Malacostraca, Decapoda, Parastacidae. The record is from RefSeq and is a predicted model, not a curated record.
GUUUUUUCAAAAAGGAAGAAGGUUGCCCCCCCUUUGAAAGGACGGAAAACACACAACUGUCAAGGCACCGUCGCUAGGGCGACCCCUGACACUUUUUUUUU